UACGGGGGGAGCAAGCGUUGUUCGAAUUUACUGGGCGUAAAGGGCGCGUAGGCGGUCAGCACAAGUCAGUUGUGAAAUCUCCGGGCUUAACUCGGAAAGGUCAACUGAUACUGUGCGACUAGAGUGCGGAAGGGGCAACUGGAAUUCUUGGUGUAGCGGUGAAAUGCGUAGAUAUCAAGAGGAACACCUGCGGCGAAGGCGGGUUGCUGGGCCGACACUGACGCUGAGGCGCGAAAGCCAGGGGAGCGAACGGG
Molecule: ribosomal RNA, 254 nt
Filed under: uncultured bacterium
Lineage: Bacteria
Description: partial 16S ribosomal RNA
Rfam family: Bacterial small subunit ribosomal RNA
Source: RNAcentral